This 253-nucleotide ribosomal RNA is filed under the name uncultured bacterium. Its description in RNAcentral is "partial 16S ribosomal RNA". It matches the Rfam family "Bacterial small subunit ribosomal RNA", at positions 524 to 776 of the family's 1533-position model. The record is from RNAcentral.
UACAGAGGGGGCAAGCGUUGUUCGGAAUUACUGGGCGUAAAGGGCGCGUAGGCGGUGUGUCAAGUCAGGCGUGAAAGCCCCGGGCUCAACCUGGGAACGGCGCUUGAGACUGGCACGCUCGAGUUCGGGAGAGGAUGGUGGAAUUCCCAGUGUAGAGGUGAAAUUCGUAGAUAUUGGGAAGAACACCGAUGGCGAAGGCAGCCAUCUGGACCGACACUGACGCUGAGGCGCGAAAGCGUGGGGAGCAAACAGG